UCGCGAUGGGUGCCGGCAGGAGCGUGAAUACGGGGGGUGCAAGGUGUAUCCGGAUUUAUUGGGUUUAAAGGGUUCGUAGGCGGGCCCGUAAGUCAGUGGUGAAAUCUCGCAGCUUAACUGUGAAACUGCCAUUGAUACUGCGGGUCUUGAGUAAAUUUGAAGUGGCUGGAAUAAGUAGUGUAGCGGUGAAAUGCAUAGAUAUUACUUAGAACACCAAUUGCGAAGGCAGGUCACUAAGAUUUAACUGACGCUGAUGGACGAAAGCGUGGGGAGCGAACAGGAUUGGAUACCCUGGUAGUC
This 300-nucleotide ribosomal RNA is filed under the name uncultured Thermoleophilum sp. RNAcentral describes it as "bacterial SSU rRNA". It matches the Rfam family "Bacterial small subunit ribosomal RNA", at positions 496 to 795 of the family's 1533-position model. Lineage: Bacteria; Bacillati; Actinomycetota; Thermoleophilia; Thermoleophilales; Thermoleophilaceae. The record is from RNAcentral.